AUGAAGAGGAGCUCCAGGUCCGGCAAUGACGGCGAUGGUGGAGAGGUGGGCGGGGCUCGGAUUGGUGGUGGCGAGCUGUCAAAGCCUACCUCAGCAAUGCCUGCGCCCGCCGCGUGCGCAAGCUCAAGGCCGAGCUCGGCAAGGACAACAAGAACCUCCAGGUCUCCAUUGACGAACACGAGAAGCCCACGCCGCAUCUUCACCAACAACGCUAGCGGCAGCUUGAACCCCUACCGGGGCAAAAGCGUCUGGAGCCACGUCCCCUUCGAGCACCCCACCACCUUUGACACGCUUGAGAGCAAGGAAUACUACGCCAAGGUCGGCAAGGCGUGGAAACGUGGGUACCUCCUUUAUGGACCACCCGGCACCGGCAAGUCCACCAUGGUCGCCGCCAUGGCUAACUUCCUUGACUACACGUCUACGACCUCGAGCUCACGACGGUCAAGAACAACACCAAGUUGCGAGAGCUCUUCAUUGAGACCACGGGCAAGUCCAUCAUCAUCAUCAUUGAGGACAUUGACUGCUCCGUCGACCUCACCGGAAAAUGCCGCGAGAACAAGAAGGUCGCAAGCGACAAGGGCACACAUUGAUGACAAGCCCAAGCUACCGGCUGUGGUCUGCUUGUGGAGCAUCAUCGUCGCCACGGACGACGAGGAGAAGCUAGACCCGGCGUUGAUCGGGAGGGGCAGGAUGGACAAGCACAUCGAGAUGUCCUACUGCCUCUUCGAGGGCUUCAAGGUGCUCGCCAAAAACUACCAAGAUGUCAUCGAGCAUAAGCUCUUUGGGGAAAUUCAGUGGCUGCUCGAGGAGACAGACAAGUCGCCCGCCGGCGUUGCAGAGAACGUGAUGCCCACAUCGAAGAAGAAAAAGAGUGACCCCGGCGUGUGCUUGACAGGCCUCAUCGAGGCGCUGA
Molecule: ribosomal RNA, 913 nt
Filed under: Triticum aestivum (bread wheat)
Lineage: Eukaryota; Viridiplantae; Streptophyta; Magnoliopsida; Poales; Poaceae
Description: partial small subunit ribosomal RNA
Source: RNAcentral